UCCGGUUUAACACCGGCAGUCCCUCUAGAGUUCCCAACUUAAUGGUGGCAACUAAAGGCAAGGGUUGCGCUCGUUAUUGGACUUAACCAAACAUCUUACGACACGAGCUGACGACAGCCAUGCAGCAUCUGUGUGCAAGUCUCCGAAGAGACGUUUACAUUUCUGCAAACUUCCUGCCAUGUCAAGGUUAGGUAAGGUUCUGCGCGUUGCUUCGAAUUAAACCACAUACUCCACCGCUUGUGCGGGCCCCCGUCAAUUCCUUUGAGUUUUAGCCUUGCGACCGUACUUCCCAGGCGGGAUAUUUAACGCGUUAGCUUUAGUACUCAAGGGGUUAAUUCCUCAAACACCUAAUAUCCAUCGUUUACCGCGUGGACUAC
Molecule: unclassified non-coding RNA, 377 nt
Filed under: uncultured delta proteobacterium
Lineage: Bacteria; Deltaproteobacteria
Description: contains 16S-23S intergenic spacer region
Source: RNAcentral